AACAAGGUUUCCGUAGGUGAACCUGCGGAAGGAUCAUUACAGUUAAUUAUUCUUGCCAGCGCUUAACUGCGCGGCGAGAUAUAAUCUCACACACAGUGUUUUUUGUUAUUACAAGAACUAUUGCUUUGGCUUGGCCGCAAGGUUGGGCCAGAGGUUUAUUAAACUUCAAUUUGAUUAUUGAAUUGUUAUUUUUAAUGUUUUGUCAAUUUGUUUGAUUAGAUUCAAAAUAAUCUUCAAAACUUUCAACAACGGAUCUCUUGGUUCUCGCAUCGAUGAAGAACGCAGCGAAAUGCGAUAAGUAAUAUGAAUUGCAGAUUUUCGUGAAUCAUCGAAUCUUUGAACGCACAUUGCGCUCUUUGGUAUUCCGAAGAGCAUGCCUGUUUGAGCGUCAUUUCUCUCUCAAACCGCAAGGUUUGGUAUUGAGUGAUACUCUUAGUCGGACUAAGCGUUUGCUUGAAAUGCAAUGGCAAGAGUGGCGCUGGAUAGUGCUUCUUGAUUAUUCAAUGUAUUAGGUUUAUCCAACUCGUUGAACUGGUCGGAAGUGAGUUUCUGGACGCUGUGGCUCGGCCUUACAACAACAAACAAGUUGACCUCAAAUCAGGUAGGAUUACCCGCUGAACUUAAGCAUAU
This 630-nucleotide ribosomal RNA is filed under the name Yamadazyma sp. Its description in RNAcentral is "eukaryotic LSU rRNA". The stretch from base 238 to 391 matches the Rfam family "5.8S ribosomal RNA". The record is from RNAcentral. Lineage: Eukaryota; Fungi; Ascomycota; Pichiomycetes; Serinales; Debaryomycetaceae.